UGAGAUAGAGGCUGCGCCUUAUCAUCAGUAGCAUUUUCCCGGAGGCACCUGCUGUGCCGGAAAUGUGAAAGGGAAGGGCGCCGAGGCCGGAUACCGGAGCAGGCCGGUGUCAAGGCUGGGCGGACGGAAUAAUAUCUGUCCGACUGUCGCAUGAACAUGCGGGGAGCUAUCC
This 172-nucleotide non-coding RNA is filed under the name bovine gut metagenome. Its description in RNAcentral is "Lysine riboswitch". It matches the Rfam family "Lysine riboswitch aptamer". Rfam says of the family: Riboswitches are metabolite binding domains within certain messenger RNAs that serve as precision sensors for their corresponding targets. Allosteric rearrangement of mRNA structure is mediated by ligand binding, and this results in modulation of gene expression. RNAcentral also lists the same sequence under 1 other name. The record is from RNAcentral.